AUGGUCGCCGGCGGGAGGGCGGUCCUGCGGCGGGCGAAGAUGGGCGGCGACGACGACGACGAGUACGUUGUGGACGAGGAGGACGAGGUAGAGGAUGAUGUUGAGUACGCGGCCGCUGCGUGCUCCGACGAGGACGCCGGGGAGGAGGAGGCCGAGGAGGAUGAGCUUGAUGCAGAUUUCAAUGUGGCUGAGGAGGAAGUUGAGGAUCAGGAAGAGGAUGACGAGCUGGAGAUCGAGACGCCAGAGUCAGUCAAGUAUCGCUCUGGUGGUAGGAAUGUGAAGGAGGAGGAUGAGCUUGAUGCAGAUUUCAAUGUGGCUGAUGAGGAAGUUGAGGAUCAGGAAGAGGAUGAAGAGCUGGAGAUCGAGACGCCAGAGUCAGUCAAGUAUCGCUCCGAUGGCAGGAAUCUGAAGCAGGAGGACGAGUUUGUUGAUGCAGAUUUCAAUGGGGUGGAGGAGGAAGUUGAGGAUCAGGAAGAGGAUGAGGAGUUGGAGACCGAGAUGCUACAGCCGAGGAACCUGCCCGAGGCCCGUGGCAAGGGCAGGAAGGUGAAGCCAACGGGCUCUAGCCGGCAGAGGCACGAGGAUGAUGAUGAUUACGAGGAAGAGAUCGAGGAUGAGGAUGAAGACUUUGAUCCGGAGGUGGACGAAGAUGAGGAGGAUGAGGAGGAAGAUGUUGAAGAAGAAGAUGAUGAUUUGGGGGAUUAUGCCCCAACUCGUGCCACAAAGGUUAGACCUAGGAACCACUUGGCCAAGCGGAAGCCAGCAGCUGGGCGCCAACACCGUAAGAGGAAGAGUGGUUCCAGGGUUUCCAAGGGAAAGACAAGGAAUGGCACGUCAGCACGUCGGCGUAGGAGCAAGCGGCGGGUGGCUGACGACUAUGAAGACGAUGAGGAGGAAGAGGAUGAUGAUGAUUUUGUUGUCAAGGACGACGUGGAGGAAGAGGUCAAUUACCGGCCAAGGAAGAAGGCCAAGGUUGGGAGGAAGACAAGGGAAGGCACUGCAGAGCCAGUUGCUGUGGGAGAAGCAUGGCCAUCAGUCGAAUCUGACACAUCAGAAUUUGAGUUUGUGACAUCUGACGAGGAUCAUGCUGAGAAGGAAACACCAGUAGCUGAGCCUGCGAGGAUCAAGAGAAAGAAGGGUAGGAGGAAGAGGGGUUCUGAAUCAGACUCGUCUUCAGACUCUGAUUAUGUCAUAUCAGAGGAGGAACUUAAGGAUUUGGGGGUGCCUAGGCCCCAAGAGACCAUGCCACAGCUGCCUUCGCCCCCAGCACGAAGGACCAUUGCUCCUAGGAGGGUAGACGAGAAGGGAAAAGAGCCAGAGGAGGCUUUGAAACAGAUAUGUGGUAUCUGCCUCUCAGAGGAGCAGAGAGCUACAAUACAGGGUGUGCUUAAUUGCUGCUCACACUACUUCUGCUUCGCGUGCAUCCUGGAGUGGUCAAAGGUGGAGUCGAGGUGUCCACUGUGUAAACGGCGUUUCAACACAAUUACCAAGUCAUCAGUGGCAGAUCUAGGAUUGGGGUUGAGGAAUGCUCCCGUUAGGGUAGAAAAGCGCGAUCAGGUAUACCAGCCCACUGAAGAUGAAAUGAGGCGUUGGUUAGACCCAUACGAAAAUGUUGUAUGUAUAGAGUGCAAUCAAGGUGGUGAUGACAAUCUCAUGUUGCUAUGUGAUAUAUGUGAUUCCUCUGCACAUACUUUCUGUGUUGGUCUGGGAAGAGAAGUACCCGAAGGGAACUGGUACUGUGGUGGGUGUAGAUCCAGUGUGGAAGGGCCUUCUCAUGCACAAACACAGGAUAGGGUGGUUCACCGUGGAGAUAGUAACAUGAACACCGCCGAUAGCAGUUCUGGUUCGUUGGGCAGAUCUACACCAAGUGGAGUGUUCCAGAGACCACCACCAAUAAACGUUCAGCCUUCUUUGCAAGGAUUUGAUCUGAAUCUCUCUCCAAUAGAAACCCCUGAGGAAGAUAAGCGAGCCGAGUCACAUCUCUCAGCUGAACCUGUAUCAACUCCUACUGGGAGGCAUGCAACUCUUGAUAGGAGGCGUGCCUUGAACCGACGCAUUCGUAUUCUUCUAUUUAGACCUAGGACUGCAACUAAUGCUUGGCAGAAUAGCAUUCAGCAUGACAGAAGCGCACCAGGAACAGAACAAAAUCAACGGAUCACCUGCACCUCUACAGAUGUGAGCCCAUCAUGUUCCAGGGCUGAUUUUAUGCAGAGCCAGCAGAGUAGCUCACAUUUUGUACAGUCUGCAAGUAAUCUUAAUCAAUGCACUGAUGAGGGUGGAAGCAAUUUCCGAGAAGUAGCAAAUGCCAAGGACCAGCUGAUUCCUAUUGUCAAGAAGAGCAUCAAGCACAUUUGUGCCCGGUCUCCAUUGGAUCAAUCUUCUUUCACGAAUGUAGCACGGCGAGCGACACACACUAUCUUAGCGUUGUCUGGGAUUGCACACAACAAGGAUAGGGUUGUUUCUACACCUUUUCCUUUUCCUAGCCAUUGUUGCCACGCCUGUGAUGGCCGAGAGCCAGCGUUUCUCAUGAGAACCAUCUGCUCGUCAUGCUUCAACUCAUUCGUUGGUGAUGUCGUCAGUCACAUCGCUAAUAUGUUUUCUUGA
This 2604-nucleotide ribosomal RNA is filed under the name Triticum aestivum (bread wheat). Its description in RNAcentral is "partial small subunit ribosomal RNA". Lineage: Eukaryota; Viridiplantae; Streptophyta; Magnoliopsida; Poales; Poaceae. The record is from RNAcentral.